AUGUUAAGUAAGCCAGGUUCAGCA
RNAcentral lists this non-coding RNA (24 nucleotides) under Mus musculus (house mouse). Lineage: Eukaryota; Metazoa; Chordata; Mammalia; Rodentia; Muridae. RNAcentral also lists the same sequence under 1 other name. The record is from RNAcentral.